RNAcentral lists this ribosomal RNA (420 nucleotides) under bacterium. RNAcentral describes it as "partial 16S ribosomal RNA". It matches the Rfam family "Bacterial small subunit ribosomal RNA", at positions 355 to 776 of the family's 1533-position model. The record is from RNAcentral.
UGGGGGAUAUUGCACAAUGGGCGAAAGCCUGAUGCAGCGACGCCGCGUGGGGGAUGAAGGCUUUCGGGUUGUAAACCUCUUUCGCUAUCGAACAAGGCCCGCUUAGGGUGGGUUGAGGGUAGGUUGAGAAGAAGCGCCGGCUAACUACGUGCCAGCAGCCGCGGUAAUACGUAGGGCGCGAGCGUUGUCCGGAAUUAUUGGGCGUAAAGGGCUUGUAGGCGGCUUGUUGCGCCUGCUGUGAAAACGCGGGGCUUAACUUCGCGCGUGCAGUGGGUACGGGCAGGCUUGAGUGUGGUAGGGGUGACUGGAAUUCCAGGUGUAGCGGUGGAAUGCGCAGAUAUCUGGAGGAACACCGAUGGCGAAGGCAGGUCACUGGGCCAUUACUGACGCUGAGGAGCGAAAGCAUGGGUAGCGAACAGG